This 510-nucleotide ribosomal RNA is filed under the name Triticum aestivum (bread wheat). Its description in RNAcentral is "partial small subunit ribosomal RNA". The record is from RNAcentral. Lineage: Eukaryota; Viridiplantae; Streptophyta; Magnoliopsida; Poales; Poaceae.
AUGAUCAGCUUGCUGCAACUUCAAGCAGAACUGGAUGUGAAAUAUCAGAUGGAGAGAGAAUCCCGUGCAUCGGCAUUGAAUGUGCAGAUGGGUUUGGUUGAAGGGAUUAUUGACAUCUCUGACAGUGAACGCAACGAUGAAGUUAAUUUUGAAGAGUGGUCUGAUCCUGAGCAUGCUAAACUGGUUGAGACAGAUAGAAGGUUGAGAGAGCAAGAGGAGAAAGAUGCAGAGGUCGUGAAGAUGUAUCAGGAAAUGUAUGGCAAAAAUGAUGGGCACCAAGAAGUCUCAGGCACGGAUAAUGAUUCACUUGUUGAGAAGCACCGUAAGUUAAGGGAGCAAGAGGAAAAAGACACCAAGGUUGCAAUGAUGUAUCAAACACUGUAUGAUCAAAAUGCUACUGAAGCUCAGAUCACCAAUGUGCCAGCAAACAGAAUUCUUGCUCAGGCGGCAAAACCUGCAGGUCGGGAAAGAAGCCCCAUGGAGGGUGGGCGUAGAGGGCAGGGAACAUGA